RNAcentral lists this long non-coding RNA (3065 nucleotides) under Sus scrofa (pig). RNAcentral's name for it is "lncRNA (ENSSSCG00065010761.1)". The record is from RNAcentral. Lineage: Eukaryota; Metazoa; Chordata; Mammalia; Artiodactyla; Suidae.
AGCAACGUGGCGGAGAGUCACCGCUGGAGCUCCCUGAAUCUCGCGUGUCCCACCGGGGGUUUCCGCUGGACCCUACUUGGUUCCUACCUUGCACGUCUACCAAAUCCUGUUGGAUGUUGGAAACUUGUAUUCCUGAAAGGAAUCCUAGACGCGUACUUUUGGAAUUGAGGAAAGAGGCCCAAGAAGAAAGUAUUGUUUACCUCCCUAAAUUGGAGAAGCAACCCAGGUCCCUUAACUCUGGGUGCAGUGGUCUUCCCAUUAGGCCGCUCUCAUUGAAUCUUUGAUGAUCAGGCCUACCUGCAGCUGGCUGAGUAUGCAGGAGUCCUGUGACUUAGCGGAUUCUUUUCGGCUUCUAUUCCCUGGAGUCUGAGCUCAGCCCAGCAGGAUCCAACCUUUUCUGCAGCCCUGGCAGAGCAGCCCACUAAAGUCUGCCUUUUGUGAGAGACUAAUCCCCCACACAGACCAUAGCAACGAGGUUGUCUACGUGGGAAAGGCGACAUGAUCUAGCUGGAAAGGUGGCUUGAAGCUUUUGUAGGAUGCUUUACAAAUGACUGAAGAAAUAUCACAUGGCCAUAUUCAAAGAAUUGGGGUCCAUUUCCCCCUACUACCACCAUGCCUUAAUCUAAGGCAGAAGGACAGAUGGAAUAGUGAUUCCGAGUGCUGAGAAACAGUUACACAAACGAUUCAGAAUGAACUCAGAAUAUAGAAGACUGGGCUGGAGGAAAGAUGUGUGUAAGCAAAUCAGUAAGUAUGAGUUGAUGCUAAUGAUUAAUUACUCAGAGGGCAGGUAGGAAAGGCUUGCCCUAGGAAAGACUCUAACACGUGAAUGUCGAAAGGGGAAAUGCAGACUUAUGGGAGUUUUCCCAUUAAAAGAAAAAUCAGAUGACUUUUAGCAAGUAGAUGAGAGAACAGUAAGACCUAGAAAGCAGGGCCUUUCUAAUUCUCUUCUCCAGGAUUCAAAGGAUUAAAGGCUAAGAGUGUUCUCCAUUCCUGUCAGCUUACAAAGCUGAAGCUAGUGUCUGGCAAAUGGCCUCCUGGUUCCUCUGGACCAACUCUCCCUUGAGGAAGGCAAAACUAGCAGAGACUGUGUUUCCUAAACUUCUUCAGGGUGGGGAAGUCAGAGGUCUACACGGGUUUUUGAAAGACAAAUCCUCUGGAUGGGACACCAAAUCAUCCACAUGUUUCUUUGAUGAUUAUGAGGUCUUCUAGAAUCACCUAUUAAAAGACAGCGCAGACCUAUUAAAAGAUAACCCUGGACCAGGCAGCUCUUUAUUUAGCAGGAUCAUGGACAGUUGGGUGCAGAAGAAGUUCUGAAAGUUGGGAAUGGGAGUUUCAGGGUCUCCGGAUGAUGAAAGGAUUCAAAGGGGAGGUGGAGGCCUCCAAAUUUAGUUCUGAAAGUUUACAUCCUAUUUCUUUCACUUAUGGACUCUGGUGAGAAGCUGAAUCUUCCACCCAAUGAUCUUAUUUCUAGGUCUGCAUCUGUUUCUUUUUUUCAUAUGAAUUACACAUUAAGGAUAAUCAGAAUUACACAGGGUACAAUCCUGACAUCAUCAUCCUCAAUUUUCCUUGACGUUGUUGGGCAAAGUUUGUUCCAUGUAGAAAGAAGCUUUAUUGAAUUUCUGGACACAAAGGAAGAGCUAAAGUUAAUUACCCUAAUAUCCUUUUCACAGAAAUCCUGGUGCUAAGUUCUCUGACAUUUUAUGUUUCCCAAAGCAUUCUGGCUUUUAAUAUCACCCAUAUUUUGUAAGUAGGAAGGACAGUAAAAUAAAUUUGUGAGUCAGAACCAGAGUCCAGGACCUGACUCCCACACACUGUGAUGUAAUUAACAAGAUAUUGAAAACAAACACACCCAUAAAAAAAACUAAACUAACCCUAAAUUGACUUGUAGUUCAUUUAUCAGAUGCUUAAUUUCAUUUCCAACCUGAAAUGGAAAGAUCUAGAGAAAGUCCACAUAGGCCAUUCAUUAAAGCCUAUGUCACCGCAACCCAGUUACUGAAUCAUCCUCUUUGGGUGCCACGUCUGUGUCCAAGUCUCUCAAAAAUUCUAGAGUUGAAGGAACCAGGCCACACCCCAAUGCUUCUCCCCUGCCAGCUGCUCAGCUAUCUUAUACAUAGAAACAUCACCAACGACAUAUGCUUCUGUUUCUCCCCUUCCUAGUGAGUUCACACAAUAGUGUUUCUUGGAGAAAUAGAACUGACUGAUGUCUCAGCACUAGAAUACCUUUCAUUUGUUUCCCACAUUUGGUUAAACACUUUUAAAGUUUGUAAAAGAAUAUAAAAAUGUGUGAAACAGAGGAAAGCAGGCUUUGGAAAGAGACAGAAGCCAAAUACAGUUGACCCUUGAACAACAUGGGUUUGAAUAGCAUGAAUCCACUUAAAUGUGGAUUUUUUUCAAUGAAAAUGGUAUGACGUGAUCCCAGGUUGAUUUAAUCCAGUGCAGAUGUAGAACAACAGAUAUGGCAGGCUGAUUCUGAGAUUUGAGCUUCCUUGGAUUUGGGUACCUGCAGAGUGUCCUGGUACCAAGAAACAACUGUAGUACUUUUCAGCACUGGCUUUUGCAUUAGCAAAGUAUGUCAAAGUAAAUGCAUCCAGUCUAAUUAUACAAGGUCAUGGUUAAGAGGGCCCUGACUUGGCAUAAUAUAAACAGCAAUAUUGAAGCAUCCUUGGAGUUCCUGUUGUGGUGCAGCAGAAACGAAUCUGACUAGGAACCAUGAGGUUGCAGGUUUGAGCCCUGACCUUGCUCAAUGGGUUAAGGAUCUGGCAUUGCCAGGAGCUGUGGUGUAGGCCAGCAGCAGUAGCUCUGAUUAGACCCCUAGCCUGCGAACCUCCAUAUGCCUUGGGCGUGGCCCUAAAAAGACAAGAGACAAUAAAAUAAAAUAAAAUAAAAUAAAAUAAAAUAAAAUAAAAUAAAAACAAAAGCAUCCUUGAGUUCGAAUUAGAUGUCUAAGAAGAUAAGGGUCUCAGGAUCAGGGAUGAGGAGAGGGGCAUGAAUAGUAAAAGAACUGGCUGCAGGGGGAACUGGUCAAGAAAGUCUUCUUCAUUCCCCUUCCAGAGUUGUGCAGCUCA